UGGGGAAUUUUGGACAAUGGGCGAAAGCCUGAUCCAGCAAUGCCGCGUGUGUGAAGAAGGCCUUCGGGUUGUAAAGCACUUUUGUCCGGAAAGAAAUCCUUGGCUCUAAUACAGUCGGGGGAUGACGGUACCGGAAGAAUAAGCACCGGCUAACUACGUGCCAGCAGCCGCGGUAAUACGUAGGGUGCAAGCGUUAAUCGGAAUUACUGGGCGUAAAGCGUGCGCAGGCGGUUUGCUAAGACCGAUGUGAAAUCCCCGGGCUCAACCUGGGAACUGCAUUGGUGACUGGCAGGCUAGAGUAUGGCAGAGGGGGGUAGAAUUCCACGUGUAGCAGUGAAAUGCGUAGAGAUGUGGAGGAAUACCGAUGGCGAAAGGCAGCCCCCUGGGCCAAAUACUGACGCUCAUGCACGAAAAGCGUGGGGGAGCAAACAGGAUUAGAUACCCUGGGUAGUCCACGCCCUAAAACGAUGUCAACUAGUUGUUGGGGAUUCAUUUCCUUAGUAACGUAGCUAACGCGUGAAGUUGACCGCCUGGGGAGUACGGUCGCAAGAUUAAAACUCAAAGGAAUUGACGGGGUCAUAGCUGUUUCCU
This 591-nucleotide ribosomal RNA is filed under the name uncultured bacterium. Its description in RNAcentral is "partial 16S ribosomal RNA". It matches the Rfam family "Bacterial small subunit ribosomal RNA", at positions 355 to 1375 of the family's 1533-position model. The record is from RNAcentral.